GCAAGCUACUGAGCACCGACCGGACCUUCCUGCUCAUCCCCAACAUUAUCACCAAGGCUUGCCACACAGUGCCCAGAACAUGGUACAUCUAAGCCUUCCGUCAAGUGAUCAUGACAUACUGACACAUCAAGCUCACCUGCAGGGUCGACCAGCAUUUGUCACAACCUACUCAGAGGCAGAAAAGCAGUUUUAC
This is a long non-coding RNA of Ornithodoros turicata, 193 nucleotides long. RefSeq lists it as uncharacterized. The transcript has 3 exons. The record is from RefSeq and is a predicted model, not a curated record. Lineage: Eukaryota; Metazoa; Arthropoda; Arachnida; Ixodida; Argasidae.